This 104-nucleotide small nuclear RNA is filed under the name Nannospalax galili (Upper Galilee mountains blind mole rat). The record is from RNAcentral. Lineage: Eukaryota; Metazoa; Chordata; Mammalia; Rodentia; Spalacidae.
GUGCUCACUUCAUCAGCACAUACACUAAACUGGCAACGAUGUGGAGACUAGUUUGGACCCAAUGCAAGGGUGAUAUGCAAAUUCAUGAAAUGUUCUUUCUUUAG